RNAcentral lists this ribosomal RNA (377 nucleotides) under uncultured bacterium. RNAcentral describes it as "bacterial SSU rRNA". It matches the Rfam family "Bacterial small subunit ribosomal RNA", at positions 523 to 898 of the family's 1533-position model. The record is from RNAcentral.
AUACGUAGGGGGCAAGCGUUGUCCGGAAUGAUUGGGCGUAAAGGGCGCGUAGGCGGCCUUUUAAGUCCGAUGUGAAAGUCCUACUUUUAAGGUGGGAAUUGCAUUGGAAACUGGAAGGCUUGAGUGCAGGAGAGGUAAGUGGAAUUCCCGGUGUAGCGGUGAAAUGCGUAGAGAUCGGGAGGAACACCAGUGGCGAAGGCGACUUACUGGACUGUAACUGACGCUGAGGCGCGAAAGUGUGGGGAGCAAACAGGAUUAGAUACCCUGGUAGUCCACACUGUAAACGAUGAGUGCUAGGUGUAGGAGGUAUCGACCCCUUCUGUGCCGGAGUUAACACAAUAAGCACUCCGCCUGGGGAGUACGGCCGCAAGGUUGAA